GACGAACGCUGGCGGCGUGCCUAAUACAUGCAAGUUGAGCGCUGAAGGUUGGUACUUGUCCCAACUGGAUGAGCAGCGAACGGGUGAGUAACGCGUGGGGAAUCUGCCUUUGAGCGGGGGACAACAUUUGGAAACGAAUGCUAAUACCGCAUAAAAACUUUAAACACAAGUUUUAAGUUUGAAAGAUGCAAUUGCAUCACUCAAAGAUGAUCCCGCGUUGUAUUAGCUAGUUGGUGAGGUAAAGGCUCACCAAGGCGAUGAUACAUAGCCGACCUGAGAGGGGGAUCGGCCACAUUGGGACUGAGACACGGCCCAAACUCCUACGGGAGGCAGCAGUAGGGAAUCUUCGGCAAUGGACGAAAGUCUGACCGAGCAACGCCGCGUGAGUGAAGAAGGGUUUCGGAUCGUAAAACUCUGUUGGUAGAGAAGAACGUUGGUGAGAGUGGAAAGCUCAUCAAGUGACGGUAACUACCCAGAAAGGGACGGCUAACUACGUG
Molecule: ribosomal RNA, 497 nt
Filed under: uncultured bacterium
Lineage: Bacteria
Description: partial 16S ribosomal RNA
Rfam family: Bacterial small subunit ribosomal RNA
Source: RNAcentral